GUAAGCUACUAAGGGCAUACGGUGAAUGCCUUGGUGUCAAAUGCUGAUGAAGGACGUGGUACACUGCGAUAAGCCCCGAGGAGUCGUGUGCAGACGUUAUAUCCGGGGAUGUCCGAAUGGGGAAACCCACCAGGGGUUAAUGCCCUGGUACUGUUAUCUGAACACAUAGGGUAACAGAGGUAACGAGGUGAACUGAAACAUCUUAGUAACCUCAGGAAAAGAAACAAUUCCCUCAGUAGUGGCGAGCGAAAGGGGACCAGCCCAAACCGUUGUCUAUAAGGCGGCGGGGUUGUAGGACUUGCAUAUAGGAGUUACAAAACUGUCUGGUAGUAAAACCAAUCUGGAAAGAUAGGCCAAAGAGGGUGACAGCCCCGUAUACGAAAUCGGACAGACUCCUGCAAGAAUCCUGAGUACGGCGGGGCACGUGAAACCCUGUCGGAAUCCGGGAAGGCCACUUCCCAAGGCUAAAUACAUUUGACAACCGAUAGUGAACAAGUACUGUGAAGGAAAGGUGAAAAGUCCCCCGGUAAGGGGAGUGAAAUAGAACCUGAAACCGUAUGCUUACAACCGGUCGGAGCACUAUGGCGCAAGCCAGUGUGACGGCGUGCCUUUUGGAGAAUGAGCCAGCGAGUUAAUCUCAGUGGCAAGGUUAAGUCAGAAACAGACGGAGCCGUAGCGAAAGCGAGUCUGAAUAGGGCGACAGAGUCGCUGGGAUUAGACACGAAACCAGGUGAGCUACCCAUGUGCAGGCUGAAGCGAGAUUAAUCUCUCGUGGAGGGCCGAACCCACUAAUGUUGCAAAAUUAGGGGAUGACCUGUGGGUAGAGGUGAUAUGCCAAACGAACUUGGAGAUAGCUUGUUCUCUCCGAAAUAGCUUUAGGGCUAGCGUCGCGUGUUUAGUAUAGGGGGUAGAGCACUGAAUGAGCUAGGGGGCGCAAGCUUACCAACCUCAAUCAAACUCCGAAUACCUAUACUUAAGAGCGCGGCAGUCGGACUAUGUGAGAUGAGUUUCAUAGUCGAGAGGGAAACAACCCAGACCGCCAGCUAAGGUCCUUAAAUCUAUGCUAAGUGGGAAACGAUGUGAGAGUGUUUAGACAGCCAGGAGGUUGGCUUAGAAGCAGCCACCCUUUAAAGAAUGCGUAAUAGCUCACUGGUCAAACGCUUUUGCGCGGAAAAUGUAUCGGGGCUAAAGCAUAGUACCGAAGCUACGGACUUUGGACAUUCUACGGAAUAGUCUGGAGUGGUAGGAGAGCGUUCUGUAGGAGAUACAAGCAUAACCGAAAGGAUAUGUGCGGCCUACAGAAGUGAGAAUGCUGACAUGAGUAGCGUAAAACAUGUGAGAAACAUGUUCCCCGUAAACCUAAGGUUUCCGACGGAAGGUUAAUCCGCGUCGGGUUAGUCGGGCCUUAGCCGAGGCCGAAAGGCGUAGGUGAUGGACAUCUGGUUAAUAUUCCAGAACCACUUAAAUGGAGUGAUGGAGGGACGUAAUUUGGUAGGUCAGCCCCUUAUUGGAUUGGGGUUCUCUACAACGUAGGGCAAAGACGAGUAUAGGUAAAUCCGUACUUUGAGCCUGAAUUGUAUGAGCGGUGCCUAAAGAGCCUGUAGUGAUUGAGCCAAGUUACCGAGAAAAUCUUCUAAACGUUGAAAUUUAAGUGCCCGUACCGCAAACCGACACUGGUAGGUGGGUAGAGUAUACCAAGGGGAUCGGGAGAACCCUCGUUAAGGAAUUCGGCAAAAUACCCCCGUAACUUCGGGAGAAGGGGGGCCUUUGCUGGUAAGCAAUAAAGCGAAGCUGGCGAAGGCCGCAGAGAAAUGGCUUCUUCAACUGUUUAACAAAAACACAGGUCUCUGCUAAGUCGAAAGACGAUGUAUAGGGGCUGACGCCUGCCCAGUGCUGGAAGGUUAAGGGGAGAGGUUAGGGGAAACCCAAAGCUUUGAACCGAAGCCCCAGUGAACGGCGGCCGUAACAAUAACGGUCCUAAGGUAGCGAAAUUCCUUGUCGGGUAAGUUCCGACC
This 2015-nucleotide ribosomal RNA is filed under the name Globobulimina sp. RNAcentral's name for it is "bacterial LSU rRNA". It matches the Rfam family "Bacterial large subunit ribosomal RNA", at positions 1 to 1988 of the family's 2925-position model. Lineage: Eukaryota; Foraminifera; Rotaliida; Buliminidae. The record is from RNAcentral.